This 450-nucleotide ribosomal RNA is filed under the name uncultured bacterium. RNAcentral describes it as "partial 16S ribosomal RNA". It matches the Rfam family "Bacterial small subunit ribosomal RNA", at positions 354 to 796 of the family's 1533-position model. The record is from RNAcentral.
GUGGGGAAUUUUGGACAAUGGGCGCAAGCCUGAUCCAGCAAUGCCGCGUGCAGGAAGAAGGCCUUCGGGUUGUAAACUGCUUUUGUACGGAACGAAACGGUUCUGGUUAAUACCCGGGGCUAAUGACGGUACCGUAAGAAUAAGCACCGGCUAACUACGUGCCAGCAGCCGCGGUAAUACGUAGGGUGCAAGCGUUAAUCGGAAUUACUGGGCGUAAAGCGUGCGCAGGCGGUGCUGUAAGACAGGCGUGAAAUCCCCGGGCUUAACCUGGGAAUUGCGCUUGUGACUGCAGUGCUGGAGUGCGGCAGAGGGGGAUGGAAUUCCGCGUGUAGCAGUGAAAUGCGUAGAUAUGCGGAGGAACACCGAUGGCGAAGGCAAUCCCCUGGGCCUGCACUGACGCUCAUGCACGAAAGCGUGGGGAGCAAACAGGAUUAGAUACCCGAGUAGUCC